UACGGAGGGUGCGAGCGUUGUCCGGAAUCAUUGGGCGUAAAGGGUGCGUAGGCGGCGGGGUAAGUUUGAUGUGAAAUCCCGGGGCUCAACCCUGGAAUGGCAUUGAAUACUGCCUUGCUAGAGUACCGGAGAGGAAACUGGAAUUUACGGUGUAGCAGUGAAAUGCGUAGAGAUCGUAAGGAAGACCAGUGGCGAAGGCGAGUUUCUGGACGGUAACUGACGCUGAGGCACGAAGGCCAGGGGAGCAAACGGG
Molecule: ribosomal RNA, 253 nt
Filed under: uncultured bacterium
Lineage: Bacteria
Description: partial 16S ribosomal RNA
Rfam family: Bacterial small subunit ribosomal RNA
Source: RNAcentral